ACAACCCAAUGUUUAGCACAAAAUAUUUGCACCGAUCAAGAAAGGUUGUCCAGUGAUGACUGUGAUUCCAGUAACCAGGAACCUCCCCCUGUUUUCCAAUAUAUGGAGCAUGAUGCACCAUAUGGAAGACAACCAUUAGCAGAUAUGAUUUCAGUAUUUGCAUGUAAGUUUCCUGAUCUAAAUACAUACAAGAGCUGUGAUCUUCUCCCGUCCAGUUGGAUCUCUGUAGCCUGGUAUCCCAUAUACCGGAUACCAACAGGACCUACGCUACAAGAUCUAGAUGCUUGCUUUUAACAUUCCAUUCACUGUCAACAACACCUGACGGUGAGUGCUCGUGUUUCUUCUUGGAUAGGACAAGCCGACGACCUGCGGCAAGAAACAGAAACAAAGCGCCCAGAUUGAUGUAACGACUCAGCAGCUCGGUGAGCCCAGGCCGGCCUUCAACAACGGCAUCCAGCGCAAAGCUGUGGAACCGGAGAGAGUUUCUAGGGCUGCAUCGUCAACACGAACAACCAAACCAGCAAGAGGCGUUCCGGCACCACCACCUUCCCGGACUGGGAAGGAGAGGAAGGUUGCCGUGAAGCUGUCGAGGUUCCAAACAGCAACCGCUUGAGCUCGUGCAGAAUCAGGGAGGAAACUGUUGUUUUGUCGUCUGUCUGCUCCAACGACGAGUUCUAGAUUUCAUUGACUUGUGUACACUGAUUCUUUCUACGAAUCGUGUGGUGGAAUUCUUCUACUCUGUUACCCGUACUACCACCAGCAGGAUUCUUUCUGUAAUAUGUUUUGGAAUUUGAUCCUUUCUGUAAUUUAAACUGGGGAAAGGAGGCCCAGCCGCCCACCCAGCCCAUGAGACAUUUUUAUCUCA
RNA transcript from Zea mays, 865 nucleotides. It is a transcript of the gene named DUF789 pseudogene, with no coding region annotated. The record is from RefSeq and is marked validated. Lineage: Eukaryota; Viridiplantae; Streptophyta; Magnoliopsida; Poales; Poaceae. The transcript has 5 exons.